Molecule: ribosomal RNA, 401 nt
Filed under: uncultured bacterium
Lineage: Bacteria
Description: bacterial SSU rRNA
Rfam family: Bacterial small subunit ribosomal RNA
Source: RNAcentral
GGGGAAUAUUGGACAAUGGGGGAAACCCUGAUCCAGCAAUGCCGCGUGAGUGAAGAAGGCCUUAGGGUUGUAAAGCUCUUUCGCCCGCGAAGAUAAUGACGGUAGCGGGAGAAGAGGCCCCGGCUAACUCCGUGCCAGCAGCCGCGGUAAUACGGAGGGGGCUAGCGUUGUUCGGAAUUACUGGGCGUAAAGCGUACGUAGGCGGAUGCGCAAGUUGGGGGUGAAAUCCCGGGGCUUAACCUCGGAAUUGCCCUCAAAACUGCACGUCUUGAGACCGAGAGAGGUAAGGGGGAUUCCUAGUGUAGAGGUGAAAUUCGUAGAUAUUAGGAAGAACACCAGUGGCGAAGGCGCCUUACUGACUCGGUACUGACGCUGAGGUACGAAAGCGUGGGGAGCAAACA